AUUUAAAGCUAUACAGAAAAUUAACUGAGGAACGGACUAUGGGGUCGUUGAUCUUCCUUCUCAUCAAACUUGCAUCCCACCAACUUCGGGCCUGCUGCAGCUAAUUAUUCUUGAUACAUUUGUUCACAUUACAGGUGUCAACAAUUUUGGCAUUGCAGAAGACCAUGGAGACAACUUUUUUAUUUCUCCAUCACACAAGGACUGAAGAUACAAAAAUGAGUUUUUCUUUCCUAUGGCCUUGGACUAGCUAUAUACGAUAGUAAUUAGCAAGCAGGCUCUGAAUUACACGAGCCCCUCCCACUGACUCUUGUACUUUUUAGCUAUAAGAACCUAAGCACGAACUUCGCAGAGCUCCAGUGCUUCUGUUUUGAAAAGAGAUAAUAUUUCCUAUGGGAUAGGGUUGUCUGGGGGUACUAAAUGAGAACUACAUACAAAGUACUUAAUGGAAGGUAUGUAGGACUCAAUAGAGGUAGCUAUUAAAUUGUAUGUAAGUAACAAAUCCUGAUAAUGUUCAAUUCUGAAUAAAACUUAGCAAGGUAGUUUUAUUGUCUUUAUUAUUUUUUAUUGAUUAGAAAACUGAUCCUAAAAUAAGUUAAUUAAUUUUGCCAUAGAAAUACCCAUUUAUUGUACAAAUUGGUGAUUUUCGAACCCAGAUCUAUUUUCCACUGUCUUGCAGCAAUGCUGUGCAGAGCUGGGCCUGCCUCAUGCCCUUGGCAUAGCUGUGAGUUACUGUGUAAGCUGUGUUCACCUGCUAAAGAGUUCAUCUUCCAGAAAAAUCAGAGAGAUAUUACGGGCAAAAGCCCAGAAUUCCUUAAGAGUAUAGGAAGAUGCACAAUGAACACUCCCACCCACUAAGAAGGAAGAACAAUUAAAGGCUGAACUAUGGUGAUGCCAUAUUUUUACAUCCGAAGGCACUGCACCACAGGCCCACAAUGAACAUUUAGCUCUCUUAAGUCUCCACAUUCUUUAUUCUGUUUUUGGAAAAGCUUCCUGUUUCUAAUUUGACAAGCCAUCUGCCUUGUUAGCUUUGCUUCCUUUAUCAUUUUUUUUUUACCUUUGAAAAUAAACUCUAGAAGCAGCCCCACGUAAGGCAAAGAAAAAUAAUGAAGAAAAACAUGUGCCAAGGGCUUCACUGACACAACGUUCAUCCCUAGUGUUUUUAAUUUGUCGAUUUGUUUUGCUUGAUUGGAGGUCCACUGAAUAGGAACAUAAUUUCUAUGCUACUGCCUGUAUGCCAAUACAAUCAUUCACUAUUUCUUAAUAUAAAAUUGCAAGAUGGCUUACUUUUAGAAAUACAGCGGGAAAUGUAAUUAAGUAUUGAAAACAGUUUCUCUUUUCCAGUCAAAAGUGUCUGAAUAACUUCUACUUAUAUACUACUCUGUAAUUGCCAAAGCACUUUUAUAUGUAUCGUUAGAUUUAAUCCUCCUAUUUACCUUCUCUGGGAUUAAAUUAGCUUGUAGUUGAGGAUGGGGUGGGGUAGAUUUUGUGAAAGUUCUACAGAUUCUGCUGUGUGUUCUCUUCUUCUUGUUUAAAUAUUGGAAUUUUAGGAAUCUGCACAGGUCUCUUAAUUUAUCACAUAGGCCUCAGGUAAAAAAACUGGUUUAGGCACAGGGUAAAAACAGACUUAACCUGUCCCUUCCAGGUAAACAUUUGUAUUUUAAGUGCAUUUAAUUAUCUCUGAAAUUCCACAUUUGACCUUUUCACCUUCCCCAAAAACUUCUUGGGAAAGAAACCAUUGGUUUGUACUCCUUGAGAAGCCUCAUACAAGUUGCUUAAUAUUUAAAGGUUAAAAAAUAAUUACUUGGGCUCAAAAUUAACAGGUUUUUGCUUGUAUUCCCUGUGAUGUAUGAGCAGAUUACUUUAUUAGAAAAUCAUUAGAGCAUAAUUUGCUUCUACUUGUUGCUGACAUCAAUUUUUAUUUCUUGUAAUUAAAAUACAGGUUCUUAUAAUAUGUCAUUAUUGUAAAUAGCAUGCUGCCAGAUAUUGAUGUGAAAUUGUCAUUAACCCUAACACCUAUGCCUUUUUUUAAAAGUGUGUGAGUUUACCAAGGUUAUGCCACAUUUAGACCCCUUCACCCUACUUAUACACAAAGUGCUCUUUCUACAGACAGCCUGGGAUGGGUCUCACAAUGAAUUUCCAUAAAUAUUUCCUUUUGUGUUGUCUUGCUUUUAUUCUCAAAAGCCAUGAAAACCCAACUGAAUUUGUCUGGAUCAUUGUGAAUGAGUUUCUUACUGAUGUAGGAA
RNAcentral lists this long non-coding RNA (2243 nucleotides) under Homo sapiens (human). Its description in RNAcentral is "HSALNT0249288". Lineage: Eukaryota; Metazoa; Chordata; Mammalia; Primates; Hominidae. The record is from RNAcentral.